AUGGCCUCGCCGCAGCAGUCGCCGCCGGCGAAGAAACCCCCACCACUCCCCCCGACGACCAUAAGCGCCCUGGACCUAGACACCCUGCGCGAGAUCUUCCUCUGCCUCCCCUCUCUCCCGAGCCUCGCCCGCGCCGCCCUCAGCUGCCGCACCUUCUUGGACGCCGUCCGUUCAUCGCCCGCUUUCCGCCGCCGGUUCCGUGCGCUCCACCCACCCCCGCUCCUAGGCCACUUCCUCACCACCCAAGACACCACCAUCCCCACCUUCGUGCCCCUCCGCAGCCGCUCCGACCCGGACAUAGCGGCGGCGGUACGCGGCGCCGAUUUCUUCCUCACCCGCCUCCCAGUCCUCGAAGACGGCGCCGUGCCCGUUCCUGCACCCGUCUCCGCCCCCGAAGACAACGGGGAUGGCGUGUCCAUUCCUUUCCCCGCCCCCGCACCCGAAGACGACGGCGAGGAUGCCGUCUCCGGCUCUGAAGACGACGACGAGGAUCCCAUCCCCGACCCCGAGUGGUCAAUCGACGACUGCCGCGACGGAUUCGUCGUUCUCCACAACUGGAGCACUCAGCAGAUCGCCGUCUACAACCCGCUCGCCCGGACCCUGGACCUCUUCCCCCUGCCGCCCCGCCGGGAGGACUGCGAGGGCCAGUAUUCUGAUUACUACAUCCUCGCCGAGGAAGAAGAAGAAGACUACUUGCCGUAUCGCGUCGUGUGCGUCUGGCACAGCGAACGCGGGGCGCGCGCCAUGGUUUUAUCAUCGGACACCAGCAAGUGGCAGAUUUUCCCAUGGGUAGACAUUGAUGGGCUCUGGCCUCAAACUGGUAAGCUGGUGAAUGGCUGCAUCUAUUGGACCAUUGGGAUGAAUGAUGCCCGUGUGCUUAACACUGCUACAAUGCAAUUCUCUCGGAUGGAUAAGCCGCCACGCAGGAGAGGGAAUGAGAUAUUGACGGCUGGUAAGACCAAGGAUGGAAGACUCUGUGUGGUCUGCGCACCUUUGGGGCCACUGACAUUUGAAUCCGUGCUUGCUGUUUGGAUUCGGAGAGCCGAUGAUGAUGGCGUCGAGAGGUGGAUGUUGGAUAAGUCACUCCCCUUGCAGGAGAUAGCUGGAAUCGUUCGGUGUGAAUUCAAGGAAGACAAUGUUAAAUAUCAAGUGACUGUUAGGACGAUUAUCGAUGGAUUUGUGUACUUCUCUGCUUAUUGUGGGGUGUGGCAGCAUCAUCAUUCGACACUCUGGCUCCUAUCAUUCUGCUUGGAAACAGCGGCGCUGAACAAGCUUGGGCGUAUCCUUAGUGGUGUUUCCUAUCCCUACAUCAUGCCGUGGCCUCGUUCUUUGGUUGGUACACAGCAAGCAAACUAG
RNAcentral lists this ribosomal RNA (1356 nucleotides) under Triticum aestivum (bread wheat). Its description in RNAcentral is "partial small subunit ribosomal RNA". Lineage: Eukaryota; Viridiplantae; Streptophyta; Magnoliopsida; Poales; Poaceae. The record is from RNAcentral.